Molecule: ribosomal RNA, 429 nt
Filed under: Gemmatimonadota bacterium
Lineage: Bacteria; Pseudomonadati; Gemmatimonadota
Description: Gemmatimonadetes bacterium partial 16S ribosomal RNA
Rfam family: Bacterial small subunit ribosomal RNA
Source: RNAcentral
UAGGGAAUCUUCGGCCAUGGACGAAAGUCUGACCGAGCAACGCCGCGUGAGUGAAGAAGGUUUUCGGAUCGUAAAACUCUGUUGUUAGAGAAGAACAAGGACGUUAGUAACUGAACGUCCCCUGACGGUAUCUAACCAGAAAGCCACGGCUAACUACGUGCCAGCAGCCGCGGUAAUACGUAGGUGGCAAGCGUUGUCCGGAUUUAUUGGGCGUAAAGCGAGCGCCGGCGGUUUCUUAAGUCUGAUGUGAAAGCCCCCGGCUCAACCGGGGAGGGUCAGUGGAAACUGGGAGACAUGAGUGCAGAAGAGGGGGGUGGAAUUCCAGUUGUAGCGGUGAAAUGCGUAGAUAGAUGGAGGAACACCAGUGGCGAAGGCGGCUCUCUGGUCUGUUACUGACGCUGAGGCUCGAAAACGUGGGGGGCAAACAGG